GAAAUAUGUAAUUCAAGGGUAAGCUUCUAACUUAACACUUAAGCAGUGAGAUUCUGUUUAUAUUUCU
Molecule: transfer RNA, 67 nt
Filed under: Cyllorhynchites ursulus
Lineage: Eukaryota; Metazoa; Arthropoda; Insecta; Coleoptera; Attelabidae
Description: tRNA-Ser
Source: RNAcentral